This 2433-nucleotide ribosomal RNA is filed under the name human gut metagenome. Its description in RNAcentral is "bacterial LSU rRNA". It matches the Rfam family "Bacterial large subunit ribosomal RNA", at positions 467 to 2925 of the family's 2925-position model. The record is from RNAcentral.
UAAAUACUCCCGAGAGACCGAUAGCGAACCAGUACCGUGAGGGAAAGGUGAAAAGCACUUCGAACAGAAGAGUGAAAUAGUUCCUGAAACCGUGCGCCUACAAGCGGUCGGAGCUCGUUAAUGAGUGACGGCGUGCCUUUUGCAUAAUGAACCUACGAGUUGCCUUUGCCGGCAAGGUUAAGUGUGACGACACACGUAUCCGAAGCGAAAGCGAGUCUGAACAGGGCGUAUAGUCGGCAGUGGCAGACGCGAAACCAAGUGAUCUACCCUUGGCCAGGUUGAAGGCUGGGUAACACCAGCUGGAGGACCGCACCAAUAAGCGUUGAAAAGCUUCUGGAUGAGCUGAGGGUAGGGGUGAAAGGCUAAUCAAACUUGGAGAUAGCUCGUACUCCCCGAAAUGCAUUUAGGUGCAGCCUUGCGGGUUACUGAUGUGAGGUAGAGCGACUGAUAAGAUGCGAGGGCUUCACCGCCUAUCAAGUCUUGACAAACUCCGAAUGCGCAUCAGUUCUACCGCAGGAGUGAGGGCAUGGGUGCUAAGGUCCGUGCCCGAGAGGAGAAGAAUCCGGACCACCUGCUAAGGUCCCGAAAUGACAGCUAAGUUAAACUAACGAAGUCUGACUGCUAAGACAGCUAGGAUGUUGGCUUGGAAGCAGCCAUUCAUUUAAAGAGUGCGUAACAGCUCACUAGUCGAGGAGUCGGGCGUGGAUAAUAAUCGGGUAUCAAGUUGUCUACCGAAGCAGUGGGAUCAUUUAUAUGAUCGGUAGGGGAGCAUUCCAGUCAGCGUCGAAGGCGUACCGUGAGGUAUUCUGGAGCGUCUGGAAAAGCAAAUGUAGGUAUAAGUAACGAUAAAGGGGGCGGGAAACCCCCUCGCCGAAAGACUAAGGUUUCCUGAUCAACGCUAAUCGGAUCAGGGUCAGUCGGGUCCUAAGGCUCAGCCGAACGGCGAUGCCGAUGGCAGAAACGGUUAAUAUUCCGUUACUACCUUCAGGAGUGACGUGGAGACGCAGUAGUGACAGUGCCGCCAUCUGACGGAAUAGAUGGUUGAAGGGUGUAGGAGUCGAUCAUGGCAGGCAAAUCCACCAUGAGAUCCGAACCUGAUAGUAUGCCGCGUCCUUCGGGACAAGGCAAUAGUGCGCGUAAGCAUGCUGCCGAGAAAAUCCGCUAAACUUAAUCCUGCAGGUACCCGUACCGCAAACGGACACACGUAGUCGGGAUGAAUAUUCUAAGGCGCUUGAGUGAUUCACGGUUAAGGAACUAGGCAAACUGACCCUGUAACUUCGGGAUAAAGGGUCCCUACCCUUUUAUGGGAGGGCGCAGAGAAUCGGUCCAGGCAACUGUUUAACAAAAACACAGGGCUGUGCCAAAUCGAAAGAUCCAGUAUACAGCCUGACACCUGCCCGGUGCUGGAAGGUUAAGAGGAGAUGUCAUCGAUAAGAGAAGCGUUGAAUUGAAGCCCCAGUAAACGGCGGCCGUAACUAUAACGGUCCUAAGGUAGCGAAAUUCCUUGUCGGGUAAGUUCCGACCUGCACGAAUGGUGUAAUGAUCUGGACACUGUCUCAACCGUGAGCUCAGUGAAAUUGUAGUAUCGGUGAAGAUGCCGAUUACCCGCGAUGGGACGAAAAGACCCCGUGAACCUUUACUAUAGCUUAUCAUUGAAUCUGGGCACGUGAUGUGUAGGAUAGGUCGGAGGCUUUGAAGCAGGUACGCCAGUAUUUGUGGAGCCGCUGUUGAAAUACGACCCUUUAUUUGUUUGGAUUCUAACCCGUGGAACGGGGACAUUGAUUGGUGGGUAGUUUGACUGGGGUGGUCGCCUCCAAAAGCGUAACGGAGGCUUCUAAAGGUGCCCUCCGGCCGAUUGGUAACCGGCCUUAGAGUGUAAUGGCAUAAGGGCGCUUGACUGGGAGACUAACAAGUCGAUCAGGUAGGAAACUAGAGCAUAGUGAUCCGGUGUUUCCGUAUGGAAGGGACAUCGCUCAAAGGAUAAAAGGUACUCCGGGGAUAACAGGCUGAUCCCUCCCAAGAGCUCAUAUCGACGGAGUGGUUUGGCACCUCGAUGUCGGCUCGUCACAUCCUGGGGCUGGAGAAGGUCCCAAGGGUUGGGCUGUUCGCCCAUUAAAGUGGCACGCGAGCUGGGUUCAGAACGUCGUGAGACAGUUCGGUCUCUAUCUAUCGUGGGCGCAUGAAAUUUGCGUGGCUCUGACACUAGUACGAGAGGACCGUGUUGGACUGACCUCUGGUUUACCGGUUGUGCCGCCAGGUGCAUUGCCGGGUAUCUAAGUCGGGAUUGGAUAAGUGCUGAAAGCAUCUAAGUACGAAGCCAGCCACAAGAUUAGAUUUCUCAGGGUCGUUGUAGACUACAACGUUGAUAGGAUGCAGGUGUACAGGCAGCGAUGUCAUAGCCGAGCAUUACUAAUUGCCCGUCCACUUUUUGCC